Molecule: long non-coding RNA, 201 nt
Organism: Neogale vison (American mink)
Lineage: Eukaryota; Metazoa; Chordata; Mammalia; Carnivora; Mustelidae
Exons: 3
Source: RefSeq, a predicted model, not a curated record
CUGCCACAGGACUGCGGGAUUGGUGUCACAAAUCUGCAGAGCCCAGUGCAAAGUGGAAUUGCAAGACCCCUCACUAGAAAAGGGCAGAAAUAAGAAUCAGAGAAAAAGGAGACAGAGCUUCUCAAGAUGAGAAUAAUGGCCAUCUAAGAUUUUGAUGGGGUAUAUGUGCAAUUAAGCCACAUGUCGCUCAUCAACCAGUAG